UGACGAGUUUGAUCCUGGCUCAGAUUGAACGCUGGCGGCAGGCCUAACACAUGCAAGUCGAGCGGUAGAGAGAAGCUUGCUUCUCUUGAGAGCGGCGGACGGGUGAGUAAUGCCUAGGAAUCUGCCUAGUGGUGGGGGAUAACGUUCGGAAACGGACGCUAAUACCGCAUACGUCCUACGGGAGAAAGCGGGGGACCUUCGGGCCUCGCGCCAUUAGAUGAGCCUAGGUCGGAUUAGCUAGUUGGUGAGGUAAUGGCUCACCAAGGCGACGAUCCGUAACUGGUCUGAGAGGAUGAUCAGUCACACUGGAACUGAGACACGGUCCAGACUCCUACGGGAGCAGCAGUGGGGAAUUUUGGACAAUGGACGCAAGUCUGAUCCCAGCCCA
This 388-nucleotide ribosomal RNA is filed under the name uncultured Pseudomonas sp. RNAcentral's name for it is "bacterial SSU rRNA". It matches the Rfam family "Bacterial small subunit ribosomal RNA", at positions 1 to 395 of the family's 1533-position model. Lineage: Bacteria; Pseudomonadati; Pseudomonadota; Gammaproteobacteria; Pseudomonadales; Pseudomonadaceae. The record is from RNAcentral.